UACGGGGGGAGCAAACGUUGUUCGGAAUUACUGGGCGUAAAGGGCGCGCAGGCGGCUCGGUUAGUGGAAUGUGAAAUGCCCUGGCUCAACCAGGGAACUGCAUUCCAUACUGCCGGGCUUGAGUAUAGGAGAGGAUGGGGGAAUUCCCGGUGUAGCGGUGGAAUGCAUUGAUAUCGGGAGGAACACCAGUGGCGAAGGCGCCCAUCUGGCCUAAUACUGACGCUGAGGCGCGAAAGCUAGGGGAGCAAAC
RNAcentral lists this ribosomal RNA (250 nucleotides) under uncultured bacterium. RNAcentral describes it as "partial 16S ribosomal RNA". It matches the Rfam family "Bacterial small subunit ribosomal RNA", at positions 524 to 773 of the family's 1533-position model. The record is from RNAcentral.